Molecule: long non-coding RNA, 531 nt
Filed under: Brassica napus (rape)
Lineage: Eukaryota; Viridiplantae; Streptophyta; Magnoliopsida; Brassicales; Brassicaceae
Description: long non-coding RNA (BNAP_LNC010856)
Source: RNAcentral
GAGAUGAGGUCUUGGACGAAUAUGAGAGCCUGAGUCCCCGAGUCAUGCUGAUGCAUCCGGGAGUAUGGCUUAUUCGUUUCCGCAUUAUAGGUCACUGAGAAAAUGAAUGCACAAACUAUAUCAACCUAAUUACCUAGUACCUAUUAAAACAUUUCUACACUAAUAAAUAAUCUUUUUUCGAACAACCAGAUAUAUUUUAAUAAAUAAUCUAAAUUGCAUAACCAGAUAUAUUUUAAAUGUGGAAGAGCCGUAACUUACUGAUUAAACUUUAAAAGCUUCUACACCCAUGUCUGGAGUUUGAAUCCUAGACUAUACAAUUUCUUGCAGAUGAUAUGAUGCAAAGCUUAUCGUAGGUUCUAGAGGCCGUUCGUUGUGGUCAUUUGCUGCAGAGGUAGCAUGUUGAGGAUGUCGUACAUACAAGUGUUUCACGGAGAGCUUCAUCGUAGAAUCUUUAUUUGUGGAGCUGUUCAUCAAUAUCGCAUAUAUUGCAGGUAGUUGAUCAUCAACGUGUAAUUAAAGAUUAUAUGAUGA